RNAcentral lists this transfer RNA (69 nucleotides) under Ovis aries (sheep). It matches the Rfam family "tRNA". From Rfam's summary of the family: Transfer RNA (tRNA) molecules are approximately 80 nucleotides in length. Lineage: Eukaryota; Metazoa; Chordata; Mammalia; Artiodactyla; Bovidae. The record is from Rfam by way of RNAcentral.
CCUGGUGGCUCAAAGGUUAAAGCGUCUGCCUGGAAUGCAGGAGACCGGGGUUUGAUCCCUAAGCCAGGA